This 446-nucleotide ribosomal RNA is filed under the name uncultured bacterium. Its description in RNAcentral is "bacterial SSU rRNA". It matches the Rfam family "Bacterial small subunit ribosomal RNA", at positions 330 to 793 of the family's 1533-position model. The record is from RNAcentral.
ACCAGACUCCUACGGGAGGCAGCAGUGGGGAAUAUUGCACAAUGGGGGAAACCCUGAUGCAGCGACGCCGCGUGAGUGAAGAAGUAUUUCGGUAUGUAAAGCUCUAUCAGCAGGGAAGAUAAUGACGGUACCUGACUAAGAAGCCCCGGCUAACUACGUGCCAGCAGCCGCGGUAAUACGUAGGGGGCAAGCGUUAUCCGGAUUUACUGGGUGUAAAGGGUGCGCAGGUGGCAGGGCAAGUCAGAUGUGAAAGCCCGGGGCUCAACCCCGGUAUUGCAUUUGAAACUGUCCGGCUAGAGUGCAGGAGAGGUAAGCGGAAUUCCUAGUGUAGCGGUGAAAUGCGUAGAUAUUAGGAGGAACACCAGUGGCGAAGGCGGCUUACUGGACUGUAACUGACACUGAGGCACGAAAGCGUGGGGAGCAAACAGGAUUAGAUACCCUAGUAC